Molecule: ribosomal RNA, 424 nt
Filed under: uncultured bacterium
Lineage: Bacteria
Description: bacterial SSU rRNA
Rfam family: Bacterial small subunit ribosomal RNA
Source: RNAcentral
UGAGGAAUAUUGGUCAAUGGGCGGAAGCCUGAACCAGCCAAGUCGCGUGAGGGAAGACGGUCCUAUGGAUUGUAAACCUCUUUUGUCGGGGAGCAAAGCGGCGUACGAGUACGCCGAAGGAGAGUACCCGAAGAAAAAGCAUCGGCUAACUCCGUGCCAGCAGCCGCGGUAAUACGGAGGAUGCGAGCGUUAUCCGGAUUUAUUGGGUUUAAAGGGUGCGUAGGCGGAUUGUUAAGUCAGCGGUAAAAAUGCGGUGCUCAACGCCGUAUCGCCGUUGAAACUGGCGGUCUUGAGUGAGCGAGAAGUAUGCGGAAUGCGUGGUGUAGCGGUGAAAUGCAUAGAUAUCACGCAGAACUCCGAUUGCGAAGGCAGCAUACCGGCGCUCAACUGACGCUGAGGCACGAAAGCGUGGGGAUCGAACAGG